AUUGAACGCUGGCGGCAUGCCUUACACAUGCAAGUCGAACGGCAGCGCGGGGCAACCUGGCGGCGAGUGGCGAACGGGUGAGUAACAUAUCGGAACAUACCCUAGAGUGGGGGAUAACGUAGCGAAAGUUACGCUAAUACCGCAUACGCACUAAGGUGGAAAGUGGGGGAUUCGCAAGAACCUCAUGCUCAUGGAGUGGCCGAUAUCUGAUUAGCUAGUUGGUGAGGUAAAAGGCUCACCAAGGCGACGAUCAGUAGCUGGUUUGAGAGUACGACCAGCCACACUGGAACUGAGACACGGUCCAGACUCCUACGGGAGGCAGCAGUGGGGAAUUUUGGACAAUGGGGGCAACCCUGAUCCAGCAAUGCCGCGUGAGUGAAGAAGGGCCUUC
RNAcentral lists this ribosomal RNA (391 nucleotides) under uncultured bacterium. RNAcentral's name for it is "bacterial SSU rRNA". It matches the Rfam family "Bacterial small subunit ribosomal RNA", at positions 30 to 420 of the family's 1533-position model. The record is from RNAcentral.